This 523-nucleotide ribosomal RNA is filed under the name uncultured bacterium. RNAcentral describes it as "bacterial SSU rRNA". It matches the Rfam family "Bacterial small subunit ribosomal RNA", at positions 355 to 896 of the family's 1533-position model. The record is from RNAcentral.
UGGGGAAUCUUGCGCAAUGGGGGAAACCCUGACGCAGCGACGCCGCGUGGAGGAUGAAGGUCUUCGGGUUGUAAACUCCUUUUCUUGGGGAAAAUGAUGAUGGUACUCAAGGGAUAAGCCACGGCUAACUCUGUGCCAGCAGCCGCGGUAAGACAGAGGUGGCGAGCGUUGUUCGGAAUUACUGGGCUUAAAGGGCGAGUAGGCGGUAGGGCAAGUCUGAGGUGGAAUCCUAUGGCUUAACCAUAGGACUGCCUUAGAAACUGCUUUACUUGAGUCAGUGAGGGGAGGGCGGAAUUCCUGGUGUAGCGGUGAAAUGCGUAGAUAUCAGGAGGAAGGCCUGUGGCGAAAGCGGCCCUCUGGCACUGUACUGACGCUGAGGCGCGAAAGCAUGGGGAGCAAACAGGAUUAGAUACCCUGGUAGUCCACGCCCUAAACGGUGGGCAUUAGGUGUAGGGCUCGUAAGGGUUCUGUGCCGAAGGGAAACCAUUAAAUGCCCCGCCUGGGGAGUACGGCCGCAAGGUUG